CGCGGCCUAUCAGCUUGUUGGCGAGGUAACGGCUCACCAAGGCAUCGACGGGUAGCUGGUCUGAGAGGACGAUCAGCCACACUGGGACUGAGACACGGCCCAGACUCCUGCGGGAGGCAGCAGUGGGGAAUCUUGCGCAAUGGGCGAAAGCCUGACGCAGCAACGCCGCGUGGGGGAUGAAGGCUCUCGGGUUGUAAACCCCUUUCAGCAGGGACGAAAUUGACGGUACCUGAAGAAGAAGCCCCGGCCAACUACGUGCCAGCAGCCGCGGUGACACGUAGGGGGCGAGCGUUGUCCGGAAUUAUUGGGCGUAAAGAGCUCGUAGGCGGUUUAGUAAGUCAGAUGUGAAAGGUUGGGGCUCAACCCUAAGACUGCAUCCGAUACUGCUAUGACUAGAGUCCGGUAGAGGAGUGUGGAAUUCCUGGUGUAGCGGUGAAAUGCGCAGAUAUCAGGAGGAACACCGACGGCGAAGGCAGCACUCUGGGCCGGUACUGACGCUCAGGAGCGAAAGCGUGGGUAGCAAACAGGAUUAGAUACCCUGGUAGUCCACGCCGUAAACGUUGGGCACUAGGUGUGGGGCCUUAUCAACGGGUUCCGUGCCGUAGCUAACGCAUUAAGUGCCCCGCCUGGGGAGUACGG
Molecule: ribosomal RNA, 639 nt
Filed under: uncultured Actinomycetes bacterium
Lineage: Bacteria; Bacillati; Actinomycetota; Actinomycetes
Description: bacterial SSU rRNA
Rfam family: Bacterial small subunit ribosomal RNA
Source: RNAcentral